This 916-nucleotide ribosomal RNA is filed under the name Lactiplantibacillus plantarum. Its description in RNAcentral is "bacterial SSU rRNA". The record is from RNAcentral. Lineage: Bacteria; Bacillati; Bacillota; Bacilli; Lactobacillales; Lactobacillaceae.
GAUUGGUGCUUGCAUCAUGAUUUACAUUUGAGUGAGUGGCGAACUGGUGAGUAACACGUGGGAAACCUGCCCAGAAGCGGGGGAUAACACCUGGAAACAGAUGCUAAUACCGCAUAACAACUUGGACCGCAUGGUCCGAGYUUGAAAGAUGGCUUCGGCUAUCACUUUUGGAUGGUCCCGCGGCGUAUUAGCUAGAUGGUGRGGUAACGGCUCACCAUGGCAAUGAUACGUAGCCGACCUGAGAGGGUAAUCGGCCACAUUGGGACUGAGACACGGCCCAAACUCCUACGGGAGGCAGCAGUAGGGAAUCUUCCACAAUGGACGAAAGUCUGAUGGAGCAACGCCGCGUGAGUGAAGAAGGGUUUCGGCUCGUAAAACUCUGUUGUUAAAGAAGAACAUAUCUGAGAGUAACUGUUCAGGUAUUGACGGUAUUUAACCAGAAAGCCACGGCUAACUACGUGCCAGCAGCCGCGGUAAUACGUAGGUGGCAAGCGUUGUCCGGAUUUAUUGGGCGUAAAGCGAGCGCAGGCGGUUUUUUAAGUCUGAUGUGAAAGCCUUCGGCUCAACCGAAGAAGUGCAUCGGAAACUGGGAAACUUGAGUGCAGAAGAGGACAGUGGAACUCCAUGUGUAGCGGUGAAAUGCGUAGAUAUAUGGAAGAACACCAGUGGCGAAGGCGGCUGUCUGGUCUGUAACUGACGCUGAGGCUCGAAAGUAUGGGUAGCAAACAGGAUUAGAUACCCUGGUAGUCCAUACCGUAAACGAUGAAUGCUAAGUGUUGGAGGGUUUCCGCCCUUCAGUGCUGCAGCUAACGCAUUAAGCAUUCCGCCUGGGGAGUACGGCCGCAAGGCUGAAACUCAAAGGAAUUGACGAGGGCCCGCACAGGCGGUGGAGCAUGUGGCUUAAUUCGAAGCUACG